AUUGAAUCAUGACAACCGUCAGAGGUGAAUGGUAGCAUCCCGUUUUGCAGAUGAAGAUACAGGGCCCAAAAGUAUGUGGCCUGCCCGAGGUCACACAGCUUCUGAGAAAUGGAGCUUCACUUCAAAACUGUGCCACCAUGCUUGCUCUCUGAAAACAAAAUAAAACCACUUUUCUGAUUCUAAAGAGAAUAAUCCAGGUUACCGUAGAAAUUGUUGAAAAUAUAUCACGCAGAAAAUAAAAAUCAUGGGUAAUUCCUACACCCAUAGAUAGCUGACAUUAACAGUAUCUGCAUAUUCUUACAAUUUGCAUGUUUUUACAGAAAUUUGAAUUGAGGCUGGGAUUACAGGCAUGACCUACCGUGCCCGGCUUGAAGGAGAUGAUUUGUGCCCAAGUGCUGACCACAGGGAUGAGCACUCCGGCUGUUUUCUCUUCUUUCCCAUCCCCACCACCGCUGCUGCCCCUCCCCUGGGGGUUUGGAUCCGCAGAUCUUAAGUGCUCUCGCCACAAAAAAGAAGCGUGGGCGUGGUGAUUCACGCCUGUAAUCCCAACACUUUGGGAGGCCAAGGUGGGAGGAUUGCUGGAGCCCAGGAUUUUGAGACCAGGCUGAGCAACACAGGGAGACCCCAUCAAGAAAGAGAGAGAGAGAGAGAGAAAGUGAGGAAGGGAGGGAGGGAGGGAGGAAGGAAGGAGAAAAUGGCAACUAUGUGAGGUGAUAGAUAUAUCAACUCAAUUGUGGUGAGUGCUUCACAAUGUAUACCUAUAUCAAAACAAGUUGUACACCUAAAAUAUAUACAAUUUUUCUUGUGAAGUAUACCUCAGUAAAGCUCAGGGGCAAAAAAAAGAGAUGAGUCGAUGUUAACCCAAACUGUUAAAAACAGAUGUCACCUAGUUGAAGCUGCUUCCCUAUGUCAUCAAAAGGAUUAAAAGAGAAUUGAAGAAAAAGAGCACUUCAGGAAGAACAAAUGAUAGGCUGGAAACAAAUACACAGGGG
RNAcentral lists this long non-coding RNA (992 nucleotides) under Homo sapiens (human). RNAcentral's name for it is "HSALNT0142960". Lineage: Eukaryota; Metazoa; Chordata; Mammalia; Primates; Hominidae. The record is from RNAcentral.